RNAcentral lists this ribosomal RNA (373 nucleotides) under uncultured bacterium. RNAcentral describes it as "bacterial SSU rRNA". It matches the Rfam family "Bacterial small subunit ribosomal RNA", at positions 525 to 896 of the family's 1533-position model. The record is from RNAcentral.
ACGUAGGUGGCUAGCGUUGUCCGGAUUUACUGGGCGUAAAGCGCGCGCAGGCGGUCGUUCAAGUCGAGUGUGAAAGCCCCCGGCUCAACUGGGGAGGGUCACUCGAUACUGAUCGACUUGAAGGCAGAAGAGGGAAGCGGAAUUCCCGGUGUAGUGGUGAAAUGCGUAGAUAUCGGGAGGAACACCAGUGGCGAAGGCGGCUUUCUGGUCUGUUCUUGACGCUGAGGCGCGAAAGCUAGGGUAGCAAACGGGAUUAGAUACCCCGGUAGUCCUAGCCGUAAACGAUGGACACUAGGUGUUGGCGGUAUCAACCCCGCCAGUGCCGAAGCUAACGCAUUAAGUGUCCCGCCUGGGGAGUACGGCCGCAAGGCUA